RNAcentral lists this ribosomal RNA (16 nucleotides) under Pseudocercospora eumusae. RNAcentral's name for it is "partial 18S ribosomal RNA". The record is from RNAcentral. Lineage: Eukaryota; Fungi; Ascomycota; Dothideomycetes; Mycosphaerellales; Mycosphaerellaceae.
GGGAAGAGAGGUCAUU